Molecule: ribosomal RNA, 256 nt
Filed under: uncultured bacterium
Lineage: Bacteria
Description: partial 16S ribosomal RNA
Rfam family: Bacterial small subunit ribosomal RNA
Source: RNAcentral
GUCCACGCCGUAAACGAUGAGUACUAAGUGUUGGGGGUCAAACCUCAGUGCUGCAGUUAACGCAAUAAGUACUCCGCCUGAGUAGUACGUUCGCAAGAAUGAAACUCAAAGGAAUUGACGGGGGCCCGCACAAGCGGUGGAGCAUGUGGUUUAAUUCGAAGCAACGCGAAGAACCUUACCAGGUCUUGACAUCGAUCUAAAGGCUCCAGAGAUGGAGAGAUAGCUAUAGAGAAGACAGGUGGUGCAUGGUUGUCGU